Molecule: ribosomal RNA, 1372 nt
Filed under: uncultured bacterium
Lineage: Bacteria
Description: bacterial SSU rRNA
Rfam family: Bacterial small subunit ribosomal RNA
Source: RNAcentral
GAUGAACGCUGGCGGCGUGCCUAAUACAUGCAAGUCGAGCGAACGGACGAGAAGCUUGCUUCUCUGAUGUUAGCGGCGGACGGGUGAGUAACACGUGGAUAACCUACCUAUAAGACUGGGAUAACUUCGGGAAACCGGAGCUAAUACCGGAUAAUAUUUUGAACCGCAUGGUUCAAAAGUGAAAGACGGUCUUGCUGUCACUUAUAGAUGGAUCCGCGCUGCAUUAGCUAGUUGGUAAGGUAACGGCUUACCAAGGCAACGAUGCAUAGCCGACCUGAGAGGGUGAUCGGCCACACUGGAACUGAGACACGGUCCAGACUCCUACGGGAGGCAGCAGUAGGGAAUCUUCCGCAAUGGGCGAAAGCCUGACGGAGCAACGCCGCGUGAGUGAUGAAGGUCUUCGGAUCGUAAAACUCUGUUAUUAGGGAAGAACAUAUGUGUAAGUAACUGUGCACAUCUUGACGGUACCUAAUCAGAAAGCCACGGCUAACUACGUGCCAGCAGCCGCGGUAAUACGUAGGUGGCAAGCGUUAUCCGGAAUUAUUGGGCGUAAAGCGCGCGUAGGCGGUUUUUUAAGUCUGAUGUGAAAGCCCACGGCUCAACCGUGGAGGGUCAUUGGAAACUGGAAAACUUGAGUGCAGAAGAGGAAAGUGGAAUUCCAUGUGUAGCGGUGAAAUGCGCAGAGAUAUGGAGGAACACCAGUGGCGAAGGCGACUUUCUGGUCUGUAACUGACGCUGAUGUGCGAAAGCGUGGGGAUCAAACAGGAUUAGAUACCCUGGUAGUCCACGCCGUAAACGAUGAGUGCUAAGUGUUAGGGGGUUUCCGCCCCUUAGUGCUGCAGCUAACGCAUUAAGCACUCCGCCUGGGGAGUACGACCGCAAGGUUGAAACUCAAAGGAAUUGACGGGGACCCGCACAAGCGGUGGAGCAUGUGGUUUAAUUCGAAGCAACGCGAAGAACCUUACCAAAUCUUGACAUCCUUUGACAACUCUAGAGAUCGAGCUUUCCCCUUCGGGGGACAAAGUGACAGGUGGUGCAUGGUUGUCGUCAGCUCGUGUCGUGAGAUGUUGGGUUAAGUCCCGCAACGAGCGCAACCCUUAAGCUUAGUUGCCAUCAUUAAGUUGGGCACUCUAAGUUGACUGCCGGUGACAAACCGGAGGAAGGUGGGGAUGACGUCAAAUCAUCAUGCCCCUUAUGAUUUGGGCUACACACGUGCUACAAUGGACAAUACAAAGGGCAGCGAAACCGCGAGGUCAAGCAAAUCCCAUAAAGUUGUUCUCAGUUCGGAUUGUAGUCUGCAACUCGACUACAUGAAGCUGGAAUCGCUAGUAAUCGUAGAUCAGCAUGCUACGGUGAAUACGUUCCCGGGUCU